Canis lupus familiaris (dog) is the source of this 1011-nucleotide long non-coding RNA. RefSeq lists it as uncharacterized. The transcript has 3 exons. Lineage: Eukaryota; Metazoa; Chordata; Mammalia; Carnivora; Canidae. The record is from RefSeq and is a predicted model, not a curated record.
UUCAAGGGUUUUGGCUGGGAACUGACCACUCAAAGCUUUACAAGACAUUCAUUAGCCUGUUUCCAUGAGGUUUGGUCCACAUUUGUUUAGGAGAUGAAACAUUUCAGAUCCAAAGGUUAAAAAAGUUUAGAAAUUUUUAUCUCUGAACACCUUCUCUUAGAACUGAAGUUCUUUCUCUUUCCCCCUCCAGAGCAUGUGGCCCAGUGGAUUUCAGAUUCAAUCAAUUUUGCCCAUCAGGAUGUUUACUUGAAAUCCUAGCAGGGGAAGCAAGUAGAAGGCAUGGAAACUCGAAAAUAUGUUCUCAAGUUUUGCCUCUCUCUAAGGCGUGGUUGCUCUUUCCAGAAGGGAAGGGUCAAGUAGGGGUUUUGCUUUAACAGUUAAAAGUCGUGAUCAAAAAUAAUUUUGCUUCUUGAGGAAUUAGGAGGAUCCCAGAAGAACACAAGUUUCUAAGGUGCCCACAAAACAUUUUGACAGAAACACUGGGCUACUUAUCCUUUUUGGGUUGAGCGAAUGUUGGGAUUCCAGAAGAUUAUAGGCCUCUGUUGCCACUGGAUUACACAAAGGGAGAGCUGAAGAUUGAAUCUCAAGGCCUAAAUAGACUGAGGAGGAUAUGAAGAGUAGAAUCUUGAAGAAGGGACAGAGAAAAUGCACCUGGGGAAGAGCAAGCUGGGUUUCCUUCUGCACCAUGUUUCAGCGUGAAAACUGUCAGCUAAAAUCUGACUGCUGAAUUUCUAUGACUGGUUCCACUACAAGUUGUAGAAAGAACACAGACUGUUUAAACAAAUAUCAUGCUGACUCCCUGAGUAUUGACAGGUGGGGAACCUUGGAAAAAAGAAAAUGGGAUCUGUGACAUUUAGCAAGACUCUGCCACCCGUUAUGUCAAUAAACAAUGAUGGGCACAACAUGCUGCCUUCCAGUGUUCUGAGGACCGAUCUUUUGCAUUUGGCAUAUGUCCUUCCUUGGUAGGCCUCAUCAUUCUGUUUACAAAAAUAAGUACUAUUAAAAAUAGGA